GGGUAGCUAAUACCGCAUACGACCUGAGGGUAGAAAGCGGGGGACCGAAAGGCCUCGCGCGAUGGGAGCGGCCGAUGCCGGAUUAGCUAGUUGGUAGGGUAAAGGCCUACCAAGGCGACGAUCCGUAGCUGGUCUGAGAGGACGACCAGCCACACUGGAACUGAGACACGGUCCAGACUCCUACGGGAGGCAGCAGUGGGGAAUUUUGGACAAUGGGCGAAAGCCUGAUCCAGCCAUUCCGCGUGAGUGAAGAAGGCCUUCGGGUUGUAAAGCUCUUUCGGCAGGAACGAAACGGUGAAGGCUAAUAACCUUUACUAAUGACGGUACCUGAAGAAGAAGCACCGGCUAACUACGUG
Molecule: ribosomal RNA, 356 nt
Filed under: uncultured bacterium
Lineage: Bacteria
Description: bacterial SSU rRNA
Rfam family: Bacterial small subunit ribosomal RNA
Source: RNAcentral